RNAcentral lists this ribosomal RNA (1363 nucleotides) under Microcerotermes parvus. Its description in RNAcentral is "16S ribosomal RNA". The stretch from base 835 to 1237 matches the Rfam family "Bacterial large subunit ribosomal RNA", at positions 2049 to 2651 of the family's 2925-position model. The record is from RNAcentral. Lineage: Eukaryota; Metazoa; Arthropoda; Insecta; Blattodea; Termitidae.
GUGUUAAAGUAGUGUUUAGUUUUAUUAUUUAAUUGAAGAAUCAUUGUGGUUAUUGUAUUUUUGUGAUUUAAUUUUUGUACGAUAGAUUAUUUGUACCGUGAGGGGAUGUUGAGUUUAAAUGUUUUUUAUAAAGCCGGCUUUGUUUGUCGUACCUUGUGUAUCAGGGUUCAUUGAAUUUUGUUAUUUAUUUUUAUUUCCCGAUUUUAAAGGAGUUAAUGGUUUAUGUUAGUUACUGUUUCAUCAGUAUUAAUAAUAUACUUUUGGUAGUGAAAUGCUAUUCGUCUUUAGUGGUUUCUGGUUUUUCAAGAAAUGAAUUUAAUUCAUGUGUCUUAUUUAAUUUCUGUUGUUGUUUUACUUAUUUUUAUUUGACACUAAGAUUAAGGGGGAUUAGCUCCUUAUUUUAUUUUUAUAAUUGUUUAUUUUGAUUUAGUUUUGUGGAUUUUAUAGUGAUUUUCAAUUUGAUUAUGUUAAAAUUUUGUUAUGUUCUUUUGUUUAUUUUUUGUGGUUUAAGUUUUAUAUUGAAAUGUUUUUUGUAUUUUUGUUUGAAUGGUAAUUAUUGUGUAAUUAGUAAAUUUAUUUUUUGUAUUGUUUUAUGUGAGUGCAUAAUUUCUUUUGAGGAAUUAGGCAAAGGUUUACAUGUCCGCCUGUUUAACAAAAACAUCUUUUCUUGUUAGUUUUUGAAGUAUGGCCNNNNNNNNNNNNNNNNNNGAAGGGCCGCGGUAUUUUGACCGUGCAAAGGUAGCAUAAUCAUUAGUUCUUUAAUUGUGAUCUGGUAUGAAUGGCUUGACGAGACAUGAGCUGUCUUAAAGGUAUUAUCUUUAUUGAAUUUGGUUUUUGAGUUAAAAUUCUUAGAUGUUUUUAUGGGACGAGAAGACCCUAUAGAGUUUGACAUUUACCCUUCUUAUGUGUUAGUGUUUGUUUAGUAUUGGUUAUUAGUUGGUUAAGUGUUUUGUUGGGGUGAUGAGAGGAAUAAAAUAUAACUCCUCUUUGGUUUUGUAUAUUUAUAUAUAUUUGUUUUGAUCCAUUUAUUUUGAUUAUAAGAUUAAAUUACCUUAGGGAUAACAGCGUUAUCUUCCUUGAGAGUUCUUAUUGGCAGGGAGGUUUGCGACCUCGAUGUUGGAUUAAGGUGAAUUUUCGGUGCAGAAGCUGAAAGUGAUUAGGUCUGUUCGACCUUUAAAAUCUUACAUGAUCUGAGUUCAGACCGGCGUGAGCCAGGUUGGUUUCUAUCUAUAAUAAUAUUUUAUAUCUUAGUACGAGAGGACCAGGUAUUUGGAAUAAUUUUAUUUUGAUUUGAAUUUCAUUAAUUUGUUACUAUUUUGGCAGAUAAGUGCAUUGGAUUUAGAAUCUAUUAAUGUAAAAUUUU